GUCCCUAUCGUCUAGAGGCCUAGAGGCCUAGGACAUCGCCCUUUCACGGCGGUAACCGGGGUUCGAAUCCCCGUAGGGACGCCA
This 84-nucleotide transfer RNA is filed under the name Acinetobacter baumannii. Its description in RNAcentral is "tRNA-Glu". It matches the Rfam family "tRNA". From Rfam's summary of the family: Transfer RNA (tRNA) molecules are approximately 80 nucleotides in length. Their secondary structure includes four short double-helical elements and three loops (D, anti-codon, and T loops). Further hydrogen bonds mediate the characteristic L-shaped molecular structure. tRNAs have two regions of fundamental functional importance: the anti-codon, which is responsible for specific mRNA codon recognition, and the 3' end, to which the tRNAs corresponding amino acid is attached (by aminoacyl-tRNA synthetases). tRNAs cope with the degeneracy of the genetic code in two manners: having more than one tRNA (with a specific anti-codon) for a particular amino acid; and 'wobble' base-pairing, i.e. permitting non-standard base-pairing at the 3rd anti-codon position. The record is from RNAcentral. Lineage: Bacteria; Pseudomonadati; Pseudomonadota; Gammaproteobacteria; Moraxellales; Moraxellaceae.